GACAGGGGAUGCAAGCGUUAUCCGGAAUGAUUGGGCGUAAAGCGUCUGUAGGUGGCUUUUUAAGUCUGCCGUCAAAUCCCAGGGCUCAACCCUGGCCAGGCGGUGGAGACUACUAAGCUGGAGUACGGUAGGGGCAGAGGGAAUUUCCGGUGGAGCGGUGAAAUGCGUAGAUAUCGGGAGGAACACCAGUGGCGAAGGCGGCUAUCUGGCCUGAUUCUGACGCUGAGGAGCGAAAGCCAGGGGAGCGAACGGG
RNAcentral lists this ribosomal RNA (253 nucleotides) under uncultured prokaryote. RNAcentral's name for it is "partial 16S ribosomal RNA". It matches the Rfam family "Bacterial small subunit ribosomal RNA", at positions 524 to 776 of the family's 1533-position model. The record is from RNAcentral.